This 88-nucleotide transfer RNA is filed under the name Actinomycetota bacterium. RNAcentral's name for it is "Actinobacteria bacterium (freshwater metagenome) tRNA-Ser". It matches the Rfam family "tRNA". Rfam says of the family: Transfer RNA (tRNA) molecules are approximately 80 nucleotides in length. Their secondary structure includes four short double-helical elements and three loops (D, anti-codon, and T loops). Lineage: Bacteria; Bacillati; Actinomycetota. The record is from RNAcentral.
GGAGGGGUGUCCGAGUGGUUGAUGGAGGUGGUCUUGAAAACCAUUAGGCGGCAUGUCCGUCUCGUGGGUUCGAAUCCCACCCCCUCCG